GUGGCUGCCGCCGUGGCCGCGUAGCCCGAACGCAGAUCGUGGAAGCCGAAGACGCGGCAACGGUGGUCCCUCCAGAUGCCAGGGAAGGUUUGCAGGAAGCCGCUCCCGACACCCUUUGCGCCACCGGAAGCCUCGUUCCCUCAGAUUUCCCCCUCCCUCCCGGACCGACUUCCGGGUGUGGCUGCCGCCCUUCCCCCACCCACGCCGGCGGGAGCCGCCCGUUCGCGCUGCCAGCAGCUUCCGCCUGCUACGGUCCUGGCAAGCACCUCGGGAUCCCAUUCCUUCACAGGGACCCUAGCCAGUUAAAGCUGAUACAUUCCUGUGGGUCAACUAUGCAACUAACUCAGAUUUUGAGCAAACAAAGCUCUCAAGUUGGUGAUCCUCAGGAGUCUCUGCAUUAGUUGGACAGCUCUUCUGGAAUUAUCUUCUAAGUCAACUGUGGGUUGGGUAGGUGGCUCUGCUGAUUUUUCGCUGGACUUCCACAUUUGGGACGAGUUGGCUGUCAUCAGCUCUAGAAAGGGUGUGGCCGUUUUACAUUGGCUGUUUUCCUCACAUUCCUCAAGCAGGUACUGUAAUAAAGAACUGGAGAAAUACAGUCAGAUGGGAAGUAGCCCUUGCUGUCAAGGAGCUUGCCAUCUAAUGGGGGAGACAGGCAAGUAAACCAAAGACUACACAGUGCAGUAUGGUAAGUGCCAUGAUUUUGAUGUGACAGGGCACAGUGGACGACCUUCCAAAUCAAAGCAAGUAACUAGGGGUUGACAAUGGUAAGUAUCAUAGUUGAAGUAUCCUUGAACAAGGUUUCAGGAAGAAGAAGAAGGGAAUUUCAUGCAGGGAAACAGCCAAAGCUCAGUGAGUCAAAAUAUCACAGCAUUCUUGGUAAGCCCAAUUGUUUUUUCUGUUUUGCUAUUUUGGUGGAGAGAAAGGAACACAUAAAGGAAUAACAUGAGAGAAGGCUAUUUGGGGAAGUGUAGUAGUUAAGGUUCUGGCUCAAACAACAACUGCAGCUCAUAAAGUUGACUUUAGUGGAAGGAUACUGGGGUAUCUCAUGGAAUCUUGGGAACUGUUGAAUAACCAGGGAAACUCUGGGAAACUCACUGGUAGGAAUCCAUAAACUGUCCUCCUGGUGGGCUGUAAACAACUCACCCUCUAUGCAUCUCACAUCAAAAUUCCAGUUUCUUGGGAAAACAAGUCUGUUUGCCCAAUUUGGGUCAUAUUUCCACGUCCAUGUUACUCAGGCAUGAUUCAUCUGCAAGUUAUGUGUAUAGAUAUUUUGCUACUGUUCCACCCUUACGCUGUGCUGGGGAGGGAGGUGUCACUGUGAGCUGUGUCGGUGCCUUAAGAGAUAUCUGUUGUGUCUUAUUACUUGGUUGCUUUUCCCCACAUGUACAAUGACAAAAAUGCCUUCAACCUAUUUGAUCCAGCCGUUCCAGUACAACUCCUAUACUUGCCAUCUUUCCAAGCCCAAAGGUACAUCCAGCUGAUGGAAGGAGCAUCUUGGUGUUAAUAUUCUUUUAGUCAUGGUCUCUGAAAGUAAAAUGUCUAUUCUUCUAAUUCUGGCACAAUCUUAUCUAGCUAUAGUUCCUCAUGGUCCUGCACUCCAUGGACUAAAUUGUAAGUAUAAUUACUACCAAUGUACUCUAUAAAUAACUUUUGGGGCCAGGGUGGCAAUAGUUGCUAGAGAGAAAAAAAAAAAAAAGGAAGGAGAAGAAAACAGUGAUAGUUCUUAUUUUAAAAGGAAAAAAAGAGGCAGGAGGCUCUCUUGAGGCCAGGAGUUUAAGACCAGCCUAGGCAGCAUUUCAAGACCCUGUCUCUACUAAAAAGUAAAAAAAAAAUUUAGUCAGGCAUGGUGGCAUGCACCUGUAGUCGUAGCUACUCAGGAGACUGAGGUGGGAGGAUUGAUUGAGCUCAGGAGUUUGAGGCUGCAGUGAGCAAUCAUCAUGCCAUUGCACUCCAGCCUGGGCAUCAGAGCAAGACCUUGUCUUUUAGGAAAAAAAGGCAGGGAAGAGGAAUAGGUAAUUUUUCAGUGUUCAGACAUUCCAGCAAUAUGUGUGGAGUACUCAUUCUCACUACAGUUUAUGAGGCCAUAGCUAGUAUGUAUGACUACCCAUCCAAGUUUCCCUGCUUACAGUUACUAUUCCAACUGAUUGGGGGGCUUUUCCUAAUAGAGUGAUUUAAGCCUUCAUUUUUAGACAUCUAAGCCCUUGGUGAUCAUCAGCAUAAAAUGUGACAAAUUAAACAAAAGCAAGACAGCACAUCAGAGAACAACUCUGAGGUGGAAUGAUUGGGAACCAAUGAAUAGUUGUUCAGUAAAUGGUUUAUAUUUUACAGAUGAUGAAACUGAAACACAAAAAAUUUAGAUUAACUCUUAGGUGACAAAGCCAGGAUUGAAGCUCAUGCGGUCUGGCUCCAGAACAACUCUUCUUCAUAGUUACGUUAUACUGCCCCUGCAUUGUUGGUAUUGAAAAUAACUGAUACCGUGCUUCCAGAAGAUUUUUCUAACAGUGUUUGCAAGCUAUAAAAUAGUGCUUUCACUUAGAAAAGGCUAGACGUGGUGGUUCAUGCCUGUAAUCCCAGCACUUUGAGAGGCCGAGGCACCAUGCUGGGAGAUAAGGAUCCAACAUAAGACAAACAGUGCUGAUGCUUUUGGAAAGCUCAUAUUCAAGCUGGGGAGACAAACAACAUACAAAAGUUCUCAUCAUGAUACUUUAAGGAUGAGGACAGCUGAUGUGGCUGGCCUGAAAAAUAAGGCUCAUAGAUGGAAGGCUUGUCUCAGAUAAGACUUUGGACUUGGACUUUUGGGUUAAUGCUGGAAUGAGUUAAGACUUUGGGGUUCUGUUGGGAAGGCAUGAUUGUGUUUUGAAAUGUGAGAAGGACAAGAGAUCUGGGAGGGGCCAGGGUUGGAAUGAUAUGGCUUGGCUCUGUGUCCCCACCCGAAUCUCAUCUCAAAUUGUAAUCCUCACAUGUGGAGGAAGGUACCUGGUGGGAGCUGAUUGGAUCAUGGGGGUGGUUCCCCCAAGCUGUUCUCAUGAUAGUAAGUUCAUUCUCAUGAGAUCUGAUGGUUUAAAAGUGUGGCAUUUACACACUCUUUCUCUCCUGCUGCCAUGUAAGACAUGCCUUGCUUUCCCUUAACCUUCUGCCAUGAUUGUAAGUUUCCCGAGGUGUCCCCAGCCAUGUGAAACUGUGAGUUAAUUAAAGCUCUUUUCUUUAUAAAUUACCCAAUCUCAGGUAUUUCUUUAUAGCAGUGUGAAAAUGGACUAAUGGACUAAUGGAAAAUGGACUAAUACAAGAU
Molecule: long non-coding RNA, 3289 nt
Filed under: Homo sapiens (human)
Lineage: Eukaryota; Metazoa; Chordata; Mammalia; Primates; Hominidae
Description: PREDICTED lncRNA (TCONS_00018110)
Source: RNAcentral